Molecule: microRNA, 21 nt
Filed under: Salmo salar (Atlantic salmon)
Lineage: Eukaryota; Metazoa; Chordata; Actinopteri; Salmoniformes; Salmonidae
Description: ssa-miR-196a-2-3p
Gene: ssa-miR-196a-2-3p
Source: miRBase by way of RNAcentral
CUACAACACGAAACUGUCUGA